RNAcentral lists this ribosomal RNA (252 nucleotides) under uncultured microorganism. Its description in RNAcentral is "partial 16S ribosomal RNA". It matches the Rfam family "Bacterial small subunit ribosomal RNA", at positions 346 to 587 of the family's 1533-position model. The record is from RNAcentral.
GUGCAGCAGUCGAGAAUAGUCUACAAUGGACGAAAGUCUGAUAGUGCGACGCCGUGUGUGCGAUUAAUUCCUUCGGGGAUGUAAAGCACUUUUCUAUGAGAUAAAAGCUCUUUAGGUUAAUAGCUUAUUGAGACGGAUAUUAUUAUAGGAAUAAGCUCCGGCUAACUCCGUGCCAGCAGCCGCGGUAACACGGAAGGAGCGAGCGUUGUCCGGAUUUACUAGGCGUAAAGGGCUAGUAGGCGACUAAUUAAG